CGGGUGAGUAACACGUGGAUAACCUACCUAUAAGACUGGGAUAACUUCGGGAAACCGGAGCUAAUACCGGAUAAUAUUUUGAACCGCAUGGUUCAAAAGUGAAAGACGGUCUUGCUGUCACUUAUAGAUGGAUCCGCGCUGCAUUAGCUAGUUGGUAAGGUAACGGCUUACCAAGGCAACGAUGCAUAGCCGACCUGAGAGGGUGAUCGGCCACACUGGAACUGAGACACGGUCCAGACUCCUACGGGAGGCAGCAGUAGGGAAUCUUCCGCAAUGGGCGAAAGCCUGACGGAGCAACGCCGCGUGAGUGAUGAAGGUCUUCGGAUCGUAAAACUCUGUAUUAGGGAAGAACAUAUGUGUAAGUAACUGUGCACAUCUUGACGGUACCUAAUCAGAAAGCCACGGCUAACUACGUGCCAGCAGCCGCGGUAAUACCGUAGGUGGCAAGCGUUAUCCGGAAUUAUUGGGCGUAAAGCGCGCGUAGGCGGUUUUGUUAAGUCUGAUGUGAAAGCCCACGGCUCAACCGUGGAGGGUCAUUUGUAAACUGGAAACUUGAGUGCAGAAGAGGAAAGUGGAAUUCCAUGUGUAGCGGUGAAAUGCGCAGAGAUAUGGAGGAACACCAGUGGCGAAGGCGACUUUCUGGUCUGUAACUGACGCUGAUGUGCGAAAGCGUGGGGAUCAAACAGGAUUAGAUACCCUGGUAGUCCUACGCCGUAAACGAUGAGUGCUAAGUGUUAGGGGGUUUCCGGCCCACUUAGUGCUGUACUAACGCAUUAACACUCCG
Molecule: ribosomal RNA, 784 nt
Filed under: uncultured Staphylococcus sp.
Lineage: Bacteria; Bacillati; Bacillota; Bacilli; Caryophanales; Staphylococcaceae
Description: bacterial SSU rRNA
Rfam family: Bacterial small subunit ribosomal RNA
Source: RNAcentral